CACAGGCGCGAAACCUUUACACUGCACGACAGUGCGAUAGGGGGAUCCCAAGUGCACAGGCAUAGCGCCUGUGCUUUUCGGUACCCUAAGGCGGUACCAGAAUAAGGGCUGGGCAAGACCGGUGCCAGCCGCCGCGGUAAUACCGGCAGCCCAAGUGAUGGCCGAUCUUAUUGGGCCUAAAGCGUCCGUAGCUGGCCACGCAAGUCCAUCGGGAAAUCCACCUGCCCAACAGGUGGACGCCCGGUAGAAACUGCGUGGCUUGGGACCGGAAGGCGCGACGGGUACGUCCGGGGUAGGAGUGAAAUCCCGUAAUCCUGGACGGACCGCCGAUGGCGAAAGCACGUCGCGAGAACGGAUCCGACAGUGAGGGACGAAAGCCAGGGUCUCGAACCGGAUUAGAUACCCGGGUAGUCCUGGCCGUAAACAAUGUCUGCUAGGUGUGGCUCCCACUACGAGUGGGUGCUGUGCCGCAGGGAAGCCGCUAAGCAGACCGCCUGGGAAGUACGUCCGCAAGGAUGAAACUUAAAGGAAUUGGGGGGGGAGCAC
Molecule: ribosomal RNA, 546 nt
Filed under: uncultured archaeon
Lineage: Archaea
Also listed under: 1 other name
Description: bacterial SSU rRNA
Rfam family: Archaeal small subunit ribosomal RNA
Source: RNAcentral